CCUAGGGAGGCAGUAGUGAGGAAGAGUGGUCAAGGGGCGCGAGCCGGAACCAGCCAAGUAGCGUGAAGGAGGACGGCCCUACGGGUUGUAAACUUCUGUUAUAAAGGAAGAAAGUGAGGCACGUGUGCCGUUUGGUAUGUACUGGAUGAAUAAGGAGCGGCUAACUCCGUGCCCGCAGCAGCGGUAAUACGGAGGAUCCGAGCUUUAGCCGGAUUUAUGGGGUUUAAAGGGAGCGUAGAGGGGUUGUUAAGUCAGUUGUGAACGUUUGCGGCUCAACCGUAAAAUUGCAAUUGAUACUGGCAGUCUUGAGUACAGUUGAGGUAGGCGGAAUUCGUGGUGUAGCGGUGAAAUGCUUAGCUAUCACGAAGAACUCCGAUUGCGAAGGCAGCUUACUACACUGCCACUGCCAUUGCUGCUCGAACGUGUGGGUAUCAAACAGGAUUAGAUACCCCAGUAGUC
Molecule: ribosomal RNA, 459 nt
Filed under: uncultured bacterium
Lineage: Bacteria
Description: partial 16S ribosomal RNA
Rfam family: Bacterial small subunit ribosomal RNA
Source: RNAcentral